ACCUGGCUGGCUCAGUUGGUAGAGCAUGUGACUUGCAAUCUCGGGGUCAUGGGUUCAAGCCCCACCUUGGGCA
RNAcentral lists this transfer RNA (73 nucleotides) under Felis catus (domestic cat). It matches the Rfam family "tRNA". Rfam says of the family: Transfer RNA (tRNA) molecules are approximately 80 nucleotides in length. Lineage: Eukaryota; Metazoa; Chordata; Mammalia; Carnivora; Felidae. RNAcentral also lists the same sequence under 3 other names. The record is from Rfam by way of RNAcentral.